AAAUAGAUCUAAUUUAAUUAACUUUUAUGACCACAGCUCCUUUGAGAUAACCAGGAGAGCCAAUUACAUUCCAUUAAAAUUCAGUUUCCCUAAAACUUCAAUGAGACACCCUUGUCUUCUCUAAGAAACAAGAGCAGCAACCAAAAUGUAAAAAGAUCUAAUUAGAAACAGCAGAAGAGUAGGUAUCUGUCUGCAGCAGGCUCUGCUAGUUGGUGUCACCAGGAGCUGCUCACAAGGCCCGCUCCAGUUUGUCACCCCUGAGCCUGGUGCUGCAGGCUGCAGAGCAAUUUAUUCCAGGUCAGUUCUGUAACUGCGGACCCAGACUUUAUCAUCAGUGAAAAGGACAAAAGAAGAAGGUGUUUCGUACUUUUGUGCAGAAGCUCAAGGUUAACGGGGCUUGCCUGGAUUGCAGGCCAGAGGUGAAGAGGAAUGUUCCCCCUUAUUCCUUUGCGACCCAUUCUGUAAUUUUGUUCCAAGUGUGGUGUGGGUUUAUUGUUUAAAGAGGGGGCGGGGAGGAUGGCUAAAGAUGCUGCCUGUAUCUAGGAAGAGUUUUUGUGCCCUUCUUUUCCUGUUGGUGAGCACACUUGAGAGGACUUUGUGUGCGGUCAAGGGGUGAUGAGUUUGUGGACUAGGAGUGCCACAUUCUAGUUCCUUCCUUCCCUUUCUUUUUUCCCUCCAAUAUUUUUAUCAUGGUAAGAUGCACGUAGCAGUUAGCACCUUGGCCAUUUUUGAGCAUCCAGUUCUGUGGCGGUGAGAACAUUUCAGGGCUGUCAACCACCACCACCACUACCUACCUCCAGAACGUUUUCAUCUUCC
Molecule: long non-coding RNA, 816 nt
Filed under: Marmota monax (woodchuck)
Lineage: Eukaryota; Metazoa; Chordata; Mammalia; Rodentia; Sciuridae
Source: RNAcentral